This 416-nucleotide unclassified non-coding RNA is filed under the name fungal sp. RNAcentral describes it as "partial internal transcribed spacer region". The stretch from base 1 to 46 matches the Rfam family "Eukaryotic small subunit ribosomal RNA", at positions 1786 to 1831 of the family's 1831-position model. Lineage: Eukaryota; Fungi. The record is from RNAcentral.
AAGUCGUAACAAGGUUUCCGUAGGUGAACCUGCGGAAGGAUCAUUAACACGUAUCCUAACGUUAAACCCCCCUGUGAACUUUCAACGUACUCUCGUCACCCCCGCAAGAGGCAAUCCCUGGUAAAUCAUGUUGACCAGUUUUGAGUCAGGGACAACCGGCUACGGGAGAAAUAACUUUGACGAUUGAGCGCUUGAUACUUUCUAAGUCUCCUCGCGGCCCGCUAUGAGUGAAAGUGUCAUGGUGGAGACAGACAACAGGAGAACCGCUUUACGGGCGCACUGGAGGUCAUCACGACCGGUGCCUUAGAAUAUGGGCCUGCGCCCCUUACUAACCCCUCUGAAAUUGCAUCGGUUCGCGUUAACGCGCUGAACUAAAAAAAACCGAACAACUGUUAACAAUGGAUAUCUUGGUUCUC